GACGAACGCUGGCGGCGUGCUUAACACAUGCAAGUCGAACGGAAAGACCCUGCUUUUGUGGGGUGCUCGAGUGGCGAACGGGUGAGUAACACGUGAGUAACCUGCCCUUGACUUUGGGAUAACUUCAGGAAACUGGGGCUAAUACCGGAUAGGAGCUCCUGCUGCAUGGUGGGGGUUGGAAAGUUUCGGCGGUUGGGGAUGGACUCGCGGCUUAUCAGCUUGUUGGUGGGGUAGUGGCUUACCAAGGCUUUGACGGGUAGCCGGCCUGAGAGGGUGACCGGCCACAUUGGGACUGAGAUACGGCCCAGACUCCUACGGGAGGCAGCAGUGGGGAAUAUUGCACAAUGGGCGGAAGCCUGGUGCAGCAACGCCGCGUGCGGGAUGACGGCCUUCGGGUUGGAAACCGCUUUCGCCUGUGACGAAGCGUGAGUGACGGUAAUGGGUAAAGAAGCACCGGCUAACUACGUG
This 468-nucleotide ribosomal RNA is filed under the name uncultured bacterium. RNAcentral's name for it is "partial 16S ribosomal RNA". It matches the Rfam family "Bacterial small subunit ribosomal RNA", at positions 28 to 507 of the family's 1533-position model. The record is from RNAcentral.